This 899-nucleotide long non-coding RNA is filed under the name Homo sapiens (human). Its description in RNAcentral is "HSALNT0299064". Lineage: Eukaryota; Metazoa; Chordata; Mammalia; Primates; Hominidae. The record is from RNAcentral.
GACUGGAGCUAGAAGGGGGCAGGGAAAUGGGACGAUGACCAGAUGUGGCCCAUGGCAAGGCCGUGCAUUGUGAAGGGAGGAGGAGGGUCUGAGAUCCGGGAGCCCUGCAGAGAGUUUGCUGAAGAGUGAAGAAAGGACGGCGUUAGUAAUGGGAUGAGGGAUACUGGAGUCCGAAUUAACAUAGCACACAGAGAGAUAUUCAGGAAAAUACAUCAUAUCUUGCACUUGGGUGGAAAAGAGCAGAAAUCCUUGGUUAACAGGAUUAUACGCAAUGGUGCAGAAAGCAUUCUCUAAAGAAAAAUCAGAGAGGAAGAAACACUGCAUGGAGAAUCCAAGAAACACUCUAAGAAUUGAAGUUAAAAUGUCGGAGGAGGCCUCGUAUGUCUUCUUCUAGGAGGACUCUCAGCUGAUGUUGGUUUUUUUAGUCUGUAUGAGCGAUGGACAAGCUGUCACUACCCAUUAGAUUUUGGGUGGUCCCAGGGGACCAUCCCAAGUUUGAGGAAAGUUGGCAAUGGAAAAAGGAGCAUCUGAUAGGAGCAGUCAGUGAAGUCCUUGGAAUAUCAAGGUAUCAAGCUCCUUUAGACGUUGAUAAGAAGUGGGGUGUGACCUGGACAUAGCCACUGCGGAAAGGAUCCCACUGCCCCGCCCUGGGGACAGUGGCAAGUAAGGACUGUACUCUGUCCUCUGGGCACUGCCCUGCUGGGAGACCAUGCUUCCUCGGCUACAUGGGAUCACUUGGAUGUCAGUGUGCCCAGGUGCUUGAUGGCACUUAUGACUAACUGCACCAGCUUUGCAUGUCCUCCUUCCACAUUUAUGGGGAAUCUGCAUUUAAAUGGAUAAAAACCAGAAUUUAAUUUGGAACAAACCUGGGUGGAAGAAACAUACUAAAAAAAAAAAAA